CCUACGGGGGGCUGCAGUGGGGAAUAUUGGGCAAUGGAGGCAACUCUGACCCAGCAACGCCGCGUGAAUGAUGAAGGUCUUCGGAUUGUAAAGUUCUGUGAUGGGGGAUGAACACAAUGACGGUACCCCAAUAGCAAGCCACGGCUAACUACGUGCCAGCAGCCGCGGUAAUACGUAGGUGGCAAGCGUUAUCCGGAAUGACUGGGCGUAAAGGGUGCGUAGGUGGUUUAGUAAGUUGGCGGUGUAAUUCCGGGGCUCAACCUCGACGCUACCGCCAAAACUAUUAGACUAGAGUGCAGGGGGGGUAAGUGGAAUUCCUGGUGUAGCGGUGGAAUGCUUAGAUAUUAGGAGGAACAUCAGGGGCGAAGGCGACUUACUGGACUGUAACUGACACUGAGGCACGAAAGCGUGGGGAGCAAACAGGAUUAGAUACCCGAGUAGUC
This 443-nucleotide ribosomal RNA is filed under the name uncultured bacterium. Its description in RNAcentral is "partial 16S ribosomal RNA". It matches the Rfam family "Bacterial small subunit ribosomal RNA", at positions 338 to 795 of the family's 1533-position model. The record is from RNAcentral.